RNAcentral lists this long non-coding RNA (385 nucleotides) under Apteryx owenii (little spotted kiwi). RNAcentral's name for it is "lncRNA (ENSAOWG00000015742.1)". Lineage: Eukaryota; Metazoa; Chordata; Aves; Apterygiformes; Apterygidae. The record is from RNAcentral.
GGCCAAAUAAAUGUAGUUACAAUCCCAUGUUUACUCUGUGUCCUACAGCUUAAAAACGCACAUCCAGAGGAGAGGACAGCAUAGGUUUGUGCUCUGCAAACACUUCAGCAUUGCUGCAGUCGUUCAGAGUAAGCUGUGCAUUUGAUGCCACUGGGGCAUGCCUUUGCCCACCCCAGCAGCACAGUGCGGCCUUGCCAGCAUGGCUGGUUGCCAAAGAGAGAGAAAUGGAAAUCCCAGUCAGAAAUACGGGAUUCCUAUUGAAGAUCUGCAUUGAAACAGGACAGCCAGUGGAGGAAGCCUUUGGGAGGAAGUGGAGGAGGCCACACUGUUGACAGACCAUUGUGCAAGACAGAAGGGAACUCAAACUCCUUUGUAAGGAGACCAA